Molecule: ribosomal RNA, 314 nt
Filed under: uncultured bacterium
Lineage: Bacteria
Description: bacterial SSU rRNA
Rfam family: Bacterial small subunit ribosomal RNA
Source: RNAcentral
AUUGAACGCUGGCGGUAUGCUUAACACAUGCAAGUCGAACGGCAGCAUUUUAAUGAAGAUUUCGGUCCGAUUUAAAGAUGGCGAGUGGCGGACGGGUGAGUAAUGCAUAGGAAUCUACCUAAAAGUUGGGGAUAGCUUGUGGAAACGCAAGGUAAUACCGAAUAAGCUCUGAGGAGUAAAGGGGGCGUAAGCUUUCGCUUUUAGAUGAGCCUAUGUCAGAUUAGCUAGUUGGUGGGGUAAAGGCCUACCAAGGCAACGAUCUGUAGCUGUUCUGAGAGGAAGAUCAGCCACAUUGGGACUGAGACACGGCCCAG